AGAGUUUGAUCCUGGCUCAGGAUGAACGCUGGCGGCGUGCUUAACACAUGCCAGUCGAGGGCUCUGGGACAACCCAGGUACCGGCGAACGGGCGCGUAACACGUGAGCGACCUGCCCGCUUGAGGGGGAUAUCCGGUCCAAUGUUCGGGAAAUACCGCAUACGUUCUCUUGGCGGCUUCGCUGGGAGAAGAUAGUUCUGGCGCAGGCGGAGGGGCUCGCGGCCUAUCAGCUCGUUGGCGGGGUAACGGCCCAACAAGGCUAUGACGGGUAGCUGGUCUGAGAGGAUGGCCAGUCACAUUGGGACUGAUAGACCGCCCAGACUCCUACGGGAGGCAGCAAUGUGGAAUCUUGCGCUAUGGCGGCAAGGUUGUUGCAGCGACGCCGCGUGCGGGAGGACGCCCUUCGGGGUGUAAACCGCUGUUGCCCGGGACGAACGGAAGGUCGUGACCUUCGUGUCGGUACCGGGAGAGGAAGCACCGGCUAACUCCGUGCCAGCAGCCGCGGUAAUACGGAGGGUGCGAGCGUUGUCCGGAAUCACUGGGCGUAAAGGGCGCGUAGGCGGCUUUUUAAGCGUGCGGUGAAAGCCCGGGGCUCAACCCCGGGUCGGCCGUGCGAACUGGGAGGCUUGAGCACUGUAGAGGCGGGUGGAAUUCCGGGUGUAGCGGUGGAAUGCGUAGAGAUCCGGAAGAACACCGGUGGCGAAGGCGGCCCGCUGGGCAGGAGCUGACGCUGAGGCGCGACAGCGUGGGGAGCAAACAGGAUUAGAUACCCCGGUAGUCC
RNAcentral lists this ribosomal RNA (780 nucleotides) under uncultured bacterium. Its description in RNAcentral is "bacterial SSU rRNA". It matches the Rfam family "Bacterial small subunit ribosomal RNA", at positions 8 to 796 of the family's 1533-position model. The record is from RNAcentral.